GAUGAACGCUGGCGGCGUGCUUAACACAUGCAAGUCGAACGGGAAACCUUUUAAUGAAGCUUCGGCAGAUUUAGCUGGUUUCUAGUGGCGGACGGGUGAGUAACGCGUGGGUAACCUGCCUUAUACAGGGGGAUAACAGUCAGAAAUGACUGCUAAUACCGCAUAAGCGCACAGGACCGCAUGGUCCGGUGUGAAAAACUCCGGUGGUAUAAGAUGGACCCGCGUUGGAUUAGCUUGUUGGUGGGGUAACGGCUCACCAAGGCGACGAUCCAUAGCCGGCCUGAGAGGGUGAACGGCCACAUUGGGACUGAGACACGGCCCAGACUCCUACGGGAGGCAGCAGUGGGGAAUAUUGCACAAUGGGGGAAACCCUGUUGCAGCGACGCCGCGUGAAGGAAGAAGUAUCUCGGUAUGUAAACUUCUAUCAGCAGGGAAGAUAGUGACGGUACCUGACUAAGAAGCCCCGGCUAACUACGUG
RNAcentral lists this ribosomal RNA (478 nucleotides) under uncultured bacterium. RNAcentral describes it as "partial 16S ribosomal RNA". It matches the Rfam family "Bacterial small subunit ribosomal RNA", at positions 28 to 507 of the family's 1533-position model. The record is from RNAcentral.